UGUUUAACAAAGAGAAGCAAAGCCGCGAGGUAGAGCAAAUCUCAAAAAAACAUCUCAGUUCAGACUGCAGGCUGCAACUCGCCUGCACGAAGUCGGAAUUGCUAGUAAUCGUAGGUCAGCAUACUACGGUGAAUACGUUCCCGGGCCUUGUACACACCGCCCGUCAAACCAUGAGAGUUGGCAACACCCGAAGUCGGUAGUCUAACCGCAAGGAGGACGCCGCCGAAGGUGGGGUUGAUGAUUGGGGUUAAGUCGUAACAAGGUAAC
Molecule: ribosomal RNA, 267 nt
Filed under: uncultured bacterium
Lineage: Bacteria
Description: partial 16S ribosomal RNA
Rfam family: Bacterial small subunit ribosomal RNA
Source: RNAcentral